Molecule: ribosomal RNA, 429 nt
Filed under: Fusobacteriota bacterium
Lineage: Bacteria; Fusobacteriati; Fusobacteriota
Description: Fusobacteria bacterium partial 16S ribosomal RNA
Rfam family: Bacterial small subunit ribosomal RNA
Source: RNAcentral
UGGGGAAUAUUGCGCAAUGGGCGAAAGCCUGACGCAGCGACGCCGCGUGAGGGAUGAAGGUUUUCGGAUCGUAAACCUCUGUCAGAAGGGAAGAAACCGCACUGUGCUAAUCAGCAGUGCCUUGACGGUACCUUCAAAGGAAGCACCGGCUAACUCCGUGCCAGCAGCCGCGGUAAUACGGAGGGUGCAAGCGUUAAUCGGAAUUACUGGGCGUAAAGCGCACGUAGGCUGCUUUGUAAGUCAGGGGUGAAAUCCCACUGCUCAACCGUGGAACUGCCUUUGAUACUGCUUAGCUUGAAUCCGGGAGAGGGUGGCGGAAUUCCAGGUGUAGGAGUGAAAUCCGUAGAUAUCUGGAGGAACAUCAGUGGCGAAGGCGGCCACCUGGACCGGUAUUGACGCUGAGGUGCGAAAGCGUGGGGAGCAAACAGG